This 261-nucleotide unclassified non-coding RNA is filed under the name uncultured fungus. RNAcentral describes it as "sequence contains ITS1, 5.8S rRNA gene". The stretch from base 213 to 261 matches the Rfam family "5.8S ribosomal RNA", at positions 1 to 49 of the family's 154-position model. Lineage: Eukaryota; Fungi. The record is from RNAcentral.
UCUCCGUUGGUGAACCAGCGGAGGGAUCAUUGCUGGAACACGUCCCCCCGGGCGUACCCAGAAACCCUUUGUGAACAUACCUUUUUGUUGCUUCGGCGGGAUCGCCCCGGCUGCCCUGAGCGCCGGAACCAGGCCCCCGCCGCAAGACCUUAAACUCUGUUUUAUUAUAGUUGUUUACUCUGAGUAGCUUCUAAAGCAAAGAAAUAAAUCAAAACUUUCAACAACGGAUCUCUUGGUUCUGGCAUCGAUGAAGAACGCAGC